Molecule: long non-coding RNA, 558 nt
Organism: Corvus hawaiiensis (hawaiian crow)
Lineage: Eukaryota; Metazoa; Chordata; Aves; Passeriformes; Corvidae
Exons: 2
Source: RefSeq, a predicted model, not a curated record
CUGAAACCUGCCCCGUUCCCCCCUCCAGGUGCAGAUCAAUCGCUACAUGGGCCUCGUCCGCCGCCAGACCAAGGAGCUCGUGGCCAAGAUCCAGGCGAAGCUCCCGGGCCUGGCCAAGAAGAAGCCGGAAUAAACCCCAGGGUAGGGGGGGGGAAUUUGGGGGUACCCGGCGGUGCCCCCCCACUCCAAGCUCAUCUUCUCCCCCCCCCCCCAAACUCCGCCCACCCCCCCGAACUUGUCCCUGUCCCCCCAACCUCACAGUGACGUCUGUCUGUGCCCCCCCCAGUCAAAGUGCGGGGGGGGCUGAACCCCAAAAUUGCUCCCCCGGGGGGGCGCCCCCAAGCUCGUUCCCCCCCCCCCCCUUUUAUUUUUUUAACGUUAAUUGAGGUGAAAUGUCUGUAACUGCUGUAAAUGGGGCAGGAGGGGCUCAGCCCCUCCCACAGCCCCCCCAAACCGCGCCCCCCGAGCCCCCCCCUCGCUCUGGGGGGGUGGGAAAUGGGGGACCUCCCCCCAAAUCCACCCGCGGGGCUGCGGCAACAAUAAAACACCGCGACAAGG